CUGUCGAGGUGAUUAUUGAUUUCCCAAGGUUCAAGAUCGGUUCAUGAUAAAACACAUUGGUUCCUUCAUUCUUGCUCUCCAUCGCUCCUCCAUCUUAGUACCAAAAUACACUAGUUCAUUUGACUUGUAGAGCAAGAUCCAUCUUGUCUCAGCCUGACUCAAAGGUCGCUCUCUGGAUUUCUCUUCAAAAUAGUCGGCCGGUUGUCGUUGUCUAUCUGUGGAUUUCUUUUCUGAAAUCGACUUCGGCUUUCUCCAUCUCUCUCACACUCUCCCCUGUACCAGGUUCAAUCUCUCGAUUUCUCUUUUUGGUAAUCGAUUGAUUAUCUCAUCUAUCUGUGGAUUUCUCCUUUUCUGAUUUGAAUGACGAUAGGUUUGACCUAAUUUUUCUCACUUUGUAGUGUGUACCAUUAUGGAAGCUUACUUCCUGAUAUGUAUUAUAUGUUUAGAUAUUGUAAUAGAACCUUCUUCACGUUAAUUGUGUAUUUGUGUUAUAGAUUAACAAUUUCCUUCCACAGGUUUUCGGUUUGAAAGUGAAAAGUCUGUUGAAAUGGUUCUUAUGAACAUGGAACCUGUCGAAAUGGUUCAUAUGAACAUGGAACCUGUUGAAAUGGUUCUUCUUAAUCGAAGUGAUGUGGUGUCAGAAUACUAGAUUUCUAUUGAUAUCCCAUUUAUUUACUACAUAAUGGAAUUAAUUGGCUUGCUCUUGCAGGUUGAUCUUGCUCAUUUGUUAGAUGCUCAUGAUCAGGACCUACUAACACUUUCAGCCAAGAUAUUCACACGUUGAUGGAUAUACAUUAGAGGUCAAAGUGUCUUCAUUCAAAAAGGAGGGAUGGACUUAAGUUCAACUGACUCUCAUUCUCCAAGGUGACGAUUCAUCAGAUUUGCUUCAUCUCAGACAACAAUUCUUGAGUAGCAGGUACAACUUUUAUGUAAUAAUGCAACAGGUCUUUUGAAAGGACAAGCAUGCUUCCCAUCAUAGUUGAAGUUAGAAUAUGUAUUUCUUUUGGUUUACAGAGUUUAAAUUGCACUGAACAUAUGGUUGGUGUUAGUAAGCCAAAGAAGGUUCGGAUAUACUGCCAGUUUCCACCGUUGUUGCAACGUUGAUGAAAGAAAAUAACCUUUCUCGCUGUCAAUGUUAUAGAUCAUAACACUUUUGUUAUUCAACUAAAUGUUUUGUAGAUUGAGUAAAGAGUUAGUCUCCAAUAUGUAAGUUACUGCAUUCUCUUUUUAUAUAU
Molecule: long non-coding RNA, 1235 nt
Organism: Cynara cardunculus var. scolymus (artichoke)
Lineage: Eukaryota; Viridiplantae; Streptophyta; Magnoliopsida; Asterales; Asteraceae
Exons: 4
Source: RefSeq, a predicted model, not a curated record